RNAcentral lists this ribosomal RNA (429 nucleotides) under Gemmatimonadota bacterium. RNAcentral describes it as "Gemmatimonadetes bacterium partial 16S ribosomal RNA". It matches the Rfam family "Bacterial small subunit ribosomal RNA", at positions 355 to 776 of the family's 1533-position model. Lineage: Bacteria; Pseudomonadati; Gemmatimonadota. The record is from RNAcentral.
UAGGGAAUCUUCGGCAAUGGACGAAAGUCUGACCGAGCAACGCCGCGUGAGUGAAGAAGGUUUUCGGAUCGUAAAACUCUGUUGUUAGAGAAGAACAAGGACGUUAGUAACUGAACGUCCCCUGACGGUAUCUAACCAGAAAGCCACGGCUAACUACGUGCCAGCAGCCGCGGUAAUACGUAGGUGGCAAGCGUUGUCCGGAUUUAUUGGGCGUAAAGCGAGCGCAGGCGGUUUCUUAAGUCUGAUGUGAAAGCCCCCGGCUCAACCGGAUAGGGUCAUUGGAAGCUGGUAGACUUCAGUGCAGAAGAGGAGAGUGGAAUUCCAUGUGUAGCGGUAAAAUGCGUAGAUAUAUGGAGGAAAACCAGUGGCGAAGGCGGCUCUCUGGUCUGUAACUGACGCUGAGGCUCGAAAGCGUGGGGAGCAAACAGG